AAGUCGUAACAAGGUAACCGUAGGUGAACCUGCGGUUGGAUCAUUAACAAAAAACCAAGAACCAUAAGUGUCUUUUGACAUUUUCGGUUUGAACCCCUGUGAACCGUUAUCGUCUCUGGUGGUGGGUAAGAGGAAGAGGAGUCUUAAUGCUCGUCGUCCAACCACCCACCACCCAUUUUAUUAAACUUGUAAUAUAUUUGACUUGCAAUAUUAUUUAAUAAUAAUAAACAACUUUUGGCAACGGAUCUCUUGGCUCUC
This 258-nucleotide unclassified non-coding RNA is filed under the name fungal sp. RNAcentral describes it as "partial internal transcribed spacer region". The stretch from base 1 to 46 matches the Rfam family "Eukaryotic small subunit ribosomal RNA", at positions 1786 to 1831 of the family's 1831-position model. The record is from RNAcentral. Lineage: Eukaryota; Fungi.